This 92-nucleotide ribosomal RNA is filed under the name Euglena geniculata. RNAcentral describes it as "partial large subunit ribosomal RNA". The record is from RNAcentral. Lineage: Eukaryota; Euglenozoa; Euglenophyceae; Euglenales; Euglenaceae.
GUCUUGCGAUCCGCAGAUGAGGAACAGCUCUGAACGCAACUGGCCAGCCAGGGACACUCUCCUCCCUGCGCUGCCUGUGCAUCAGCGUUUCA